UGCAGCAACAAUCGAGCGAAUUGGUAC
RNAcentral lists this small RNA (27 nucleotides) under Arabidopsis thaliana (thale cress). RNAcentral's name for it is "ATSL283840". Lineage: Eukaryota; Viridiplantae; Streptophyta; Magnoliopsida; Brassicales; Brassicaceae. The record is from RNAcentral.